AUACAGAGUAUUGCAGCAAAAUGCGAACAGACUAUAUGUAUGAAGACAUAUAGCCGAGAGUAAAUUUCUUGAUUAAGUUUAAAAUAAACCUCAACAUCUUGAUGUUACCGCAAGGAAUAUAAUUACGGUAUAAUGAAGAUCAUCCGAAACAAAAUCCCUGCCAGCACCAGUCCAAUCUCCCUCCUCGCUUAUCCUGCACGUUUAGAAAUACAUGCAGGGCUGAGUACAGAAUACUCAGUGGACAUAUGCCGAAAAUCAAUGAAAACUAGCUCUUAGAGCUAUAGAUUGAACUUGCCACAUAAGCAAUACACGGGGAUUUUACUCAAAAGAACCCGUGUAAGCAGUUAACAAUCAUAAACAUCAUAAAUAAAUGACCGGUCAAAAUUCUCGUUAUGUAUGUACCACAUCUACAAAUCAUCAUCAUUUAAGGUACUGAGAAGUAGGCCUCCUUCUCAAGUACCGUGACCGGCCGACCCGAAGGACAGCUCACGGUCACCUCUGUGUACACAAUCCCGCUUGUGGCAGGACCCGAAUUCGUCUCAUCAGUAGAGGGUGACAUACAGGCUCGUCGUCAUCAAAACUUGGCAAGUCAAUUAGUUCAACAUCAAUAAAUCUCAAAAUAUUUAUCAGACUCAUAAACAUCAUCAACAGUAAUAAUUUUCAUCAAACUGAAAUUGACAGUUAAAUCACAUCAUUUAUUUCAUUUCGUAUAAGAGGCCUACGAUACGCAGGGGAUCUCUAUAUACGUAUAGUAAAAAUAAUGCCCACCUGAUGUCCUAGCUUACUCUCGUAGCGUUCGGGGUGGACUCACUUCCGUCCUCUGCUCGCAUCUUCAGAUAUCAUAACAUCGAAUAUAGUUCAUGGGGUAAAACAAAAGGAAUCGGUCAGAAACUUCCUUACUAAGAAUAUCAUUCUAUCUUAGUAAUAUUACAUUACUUCUCAUUUCUACACUCCGUCUCACUCGAUCUCAUAUCGUAAACACUUUCUAAGUAAUCACUACUUUAUUCUUGACUUAUCUCCUAAUGUAGGUCUAAACUCUGUCAAGGAACAACUCAUAGAUAAACAAUCCAUAAGCACAUAGCAAUCACAUAAACAAACUCAUUUUUGAAAAAUAAAAUAUUUUUAGUCGGGGAAAUUUCCCAAAAAUCUAUUUUAUAAAUCAUUCUUAAACCAAUUAUUCAAAAAUUAACUCACAUAAACAAGUUAUGCCAUUUUAUUACAUUUUUCAUGUAUAAGCUCAAUUCAUCUUCACUAAGCCACAUAUAGACAUCUUUAAUUCAUAUCUCAUCUAAUAAUCAAAAUCUUAUUCAAUUCACUCUUUCUGCACUGCCUUAACUUAAGAGAAUAAACUGUUUCUCCUUGGAACUCUCCUGGGUUAGAGACUCAUACUAUUGGAAACCUCUUUGAGUCUAGUUUUAUUUAAAAAAAAGUAGGUUGAAAAACUCCAAGUGGUUUAAGAGAUAUGACCGUUCUCCCACAGUCUACCAUAUUCGGCAGUUUCGUGCAACUGGAAGUUUCGAAUUUUGAAAAAUAGUAAACAUUUCCGAAAUGACUUGAAAUUUUAUGGGUAGCUAGAUAACACAUUAAUAUUUUACCAUAAAAAUUUGGAAAGCAAAAACUCAGGGUAAGCUACUGAAAAUGGUGACUCUAAGGUCUGUUCUUCUAAACUUUCGGUAGAAAGUUGCAGUUGGGGUUUUGCAUUUUAAAAGGGUAGUAAAUGAAGUCCAAAUGACUUGAAAUUUUACAUGGACGCUCAUAACACUCUGAUAUACGCACCAUAAAAUUUUCAAGAUUUUUAGGAAUCAAGAACCCUGUCGAAAUUCAUCAAGUCAGUAGCUUUUUAAAGGUUUUCAAAAUAACUCAUCAACUUGCCAACUUUAAGCAUAUAGCCAACUAUACCCUAUUUUUCAUCAAACUAACUCACUUCAAUAUUCAUCAAACACCUUUAAUCAUCAUUCUAAUCCAUCAAAUAUCAUCUCAAUAAUCUCAAUAGCUCAUAUUCAUAACCAAAUCAACAAUCCAUCCAUGAACUUCAAACUUCUCAAAAUCAUGUAAACUAACCCAUCUAAAAAAUUCACAUAUCGAUUUAAAUCCAUCCUUUGCAUGUAGAAAUGGACUAAAUAGGAUCUCAAUAGCAUGAAUAUAUUCUCAAUAUAAGAUAAGAAGAUGAAAAAAACAAUUUGAAGGCUUCCAACCCUAAAGUUUUCGAAAAUUACAAACUUGAAUUAGAAGUUGUUUUCAUGCUAUAAUCAUCCAUAUUCAUGCUUAUAUAUCUCAAAUAUGAUUAGAUUUAGAUAAAUCUAACACUUACUCAAUGAUUUUUGAGUAGAAAAUGAAAAUCUCCUCUUGACUUCAAGCUUUAAAAACCUUCCAUAGUUGCUCUUGAUUUGAAGUGUAUAGAUGUUUAGAGCUUGUUUUAAUGGAAGCUUAUGGUAUAGAAAUGAUCUAUGAAGCUUUGUAUAUGAUCAUCAAUGGAGGAUGAUGAAGAAAAUUGGGAGAGAAGAGAGAGAGGGAGGGGACGGUUCUAUGGGUGAGAAAUGAGGGAAUGAAU
This 2551-nucleotide long non-coding RNA is filed under the name Salvia miltiorrhiza (redroot sage). RNAcentral describes it as "long non-coding RNA (SMIL_LNC000632)". Lineage: Eukaryota; Viridiplantae; Streptophyta; Magnoliopsida; Lamiales; Lamiaceae. The record is from RNAcentral.